This 490-nucleotide ribosomal RNA is filed under the name uncultured bacterium. RNAcentral describes it as "partial 16S ribosomal RNA". It matches the Rfam family "Bacterial small subunit ribosomal RNA", at positions 28 to 507 of the family's 1533-position model. The record is from RNAcentral.
GAUGAACGCUAGCGAUAGGCUUAACACAUGCCAGUCGAGGGGCAGCAUGGUCUUAGCUUGCUAAGACUGAUGGCGACCGGCGCACGGGUGCGUAACGCGUAUGCAACUUGCCUCACAGAGGGGGAUAACCCGUCGAAAGACGGACUAAUACCGCGUACACUCCAUCUUGGGCAUCCAAGGUAGAGGAAAUGAAAUUCGCUGUGAGAUAGGCAUGCGUCCCAUUAGCUAGUUGGUGAGGUAACGGCUCACCAAGGCGACGAUGGGUAGGGGAACUGAGAGGUUGAACCCCCACACUGGUACUGAGACACGGACCAGACUACUACGGGAGGCAGCAGUGAGGAAUGUUGGUCAAUGGGCGAGAGCCUGAACCAGCCAAGUCGCGUGAAGGAUGACUGUCUUAUGGAUUGUAAACUUCUUUUAUACGGGAAUAACAAGAGUCACGUGUGACUCCCUGCAUGUACCGUAUGAAUAAGCAUCGGCUAACUCCGUG